CUUCCUAACUUCAGCGCCGAGGGUGGACGUGGCCCUGGCCGAAGGCCGCCUCUGCCGCGGUUAGCCACCGCCUCCCCGCUGCCCCUCCGGUCCGGGGUCCGAGCCCUUGGCCAUCAGUGACCAG
Ornithorhynchus anatinus (platypus) is the source of this 124-nucleotide non-coding RNA. The record is from RefSeq and is marked provisional. NCBI's taxonomy places the organism in Eukaryota, Metazoa, Chordata, Mammalia, Monotremata, Ornithorhynchidae.